Molecule: signal recognition particle RNA, 268 nt
Filed under: marine eukaryotic metagenome
Description: Bacterial large signal recognition particle RNA
Rfam family: Bacterial large signal recognition particle RNA
About the family: The signal recognition particle (SRP) is a universally conserved ribonucleoprotein involved in the co-translational targeting of proteins to membranes. Archaeal SRP consists of a 7S RNA and homologues of the eukaryotic SRP19 and SRP54 proteins. In most bacteria, the SRP consists of a 4.5S RNA and the Ffh protein (a homologue of the eukaryotic SRP54 protein).
Source: RNAcentral
CCGUGCUAAGCGGGGCGCUAGGGGUGCCCUGUACCCGAAAUCCUCUUAUGCGGGGCCUAAUCCCCCGUCCGAGGAUGAACGCCUUUCGGGCAGCACCGGGAAACGUCGACGAUGAAGGCCGGGUCCUGCGCAGCGGGGCCCCGUGAACCGGGUCAGGUCCGGAAGGAAGCAGCCCUAAGCGAGCAGCCUCGGGUGCCGCAGGAGCGCCGGGCUGGAGUCGACGGCCCGGAACGCGCCGGCGGGCCGACAUUCAAGGACGGGGUGCACG